GAUCAAACGCAAUAAGGCACACGGUGGAUGCCUUGGCAUCGAGAGGCGAUGAAGGACGGGUAAGCUGCGAAAAGCCUGGGGGAGCUGCACACGAGCUAUGAUCUCAGGAUGUCCGAAUGGGGCAACCC
RNAcentral lists this ribosomal RNA (128 nucleotides) under uncultured Actinomycetes bacterium. Its description in RNAcentral is "uncultured actinobacterium partial 23S ribosomal RNA". It matches the Rfam family "Bacterial large subunit ribosomal RNA", at positions 1 to 129 of the family's 2925-position model. The record is from RNAcentral. Lineage: Bacteria; Bacillati; Actinomycetota; Actinomycetes.